This is a non-coding RNA of Paramisgurnus dabryanus, 413 nucleotides long. NCBI's taxonomy places the organism in Eukaryota, Metazoa, Chordata, Actinopteri, Cypriniformes, Cobitidae. The record is from RefSeq and is a predicted model, not a curated record.
AGAAGAACAAAAAUGACCGGGAAAAUCUGACAGGACUGAGAUGAUGACAACAGCACAGCGGGGUUUUAGAAGCCCAUCAGAGUGAUUUUCUGAGUUCUUUCACAUGCUGUAUGGUCAGCGAAUGGAUGGAUUAUCCAGUCAAGGUACAGAAUGAAAGACUUGACUGAGUUAGAAGAAGCUGGGCGACUCUUCAGAGUGAAGAUGUUAUGAUGCAGUUAUGUCAAAGCACUCGUUUCGGCUGGCCAGAUUGGAACAGACCUGAAUGGGAAGAUGGCAGAGCUAAGACUGACAAUGUCCAGGAAAAAUGUUAACUAAAAAUUAGUGUUUUUCCUCAGCGAGUGAGUUUGGGAAUGUUUUAAAUGUGCCUAAAAGUUUGAAAAUGUAAUACUGAGGGAAAAAAGUGAACGCUUUGA